This 72-nucleotide transfer RNA is filed under the name Camelus bactrianus (Bactrian camel). It matches the Rfam family "tRNA". From Rfam's summary of the family: Transfer RNA (tRNA) molecules are approximately 80 nucleotides in length. RNAcentral also lists the same sequence under 2 other names. The record is from Rfam by way of RNAcentral. Lineage: Eukaryota; Metazoa; Chordata; Mammalia; Artiodactyla; Camelidae.
AGGGGUAAAGCUCAGUAGCUGAGCACAUGCUUGGCAUGCAUGAGGUCCUGGGUUCAAUCCCCAGGGCUUCUA